RNAcentral lists this ribosomal RNA (474 nucleotides) under uncultured bacterium. RNAcentral describes it as "SSU rRNA". It matches the Rfam family "Bacterial small subunit ribosomal RNA", at positions 26 to 518 of the family's 1533-position model. The record is from RNAcentral.
AGGACGAACGCUGGCGGCGUGCUUAACACAUGCAAGUCGAGCGGAAAGGCCCUUCGGGGUACUCGAGCGGCGAACGGGUGAGUAACACGUGAGUAACCUGCCCUAGGCUUUGGGAUAACCCUCGGAAACGGGGGCUAAUACCGAAUAUUCAUUCUGGAUGGCAUCAUCUGGUGUGGAAAGUUUUUCGGCCUGGGAUGGGCUCGCGGCCUAUCAGCUUGUUGGUGGGGUGAUGGCCUACCAAGGCGACGACGGGUAGCCGGCCUGAGAGGGCGACCGGCCACACUGGGACUGAGACACGGCCCAGACUCCUACGGGAGGCAGCAGUGGGGAAUAUUGCACAAUGGGCGGAAGCCUGAUGCAGCGACGCCGCGUGAGGGAUGAAGGCCUUCGGGUUGUAAACCUCUUUCGACAGGGACGAAGCGCAAGUGACGGUACCUGGAGAAGAAGCGCCGGCCAACUCGUGCCAGCAGCCGC